UUUGUCAGUGAGGAGAACAGAAGCCGAUGCUCUCAAGGAAAGAGAUGAAGCCAAGUGCCCCCUCUCAGGCACACUGACUUCCUCAGCUUCAGGAGGG
Molecule: non-coding RNA, 97 nt
Organism: Tinamus guttatus (white-throated tinamou)
Lineage: Eukaryota; Metazoa; Chordata; Aves; Tinamiformes; Tinamidae
Source: RefSeq, a predicted model, not a curated record